GACGAACGCUGGCGGCGUGCCUAAUACAUGCACGUAGGACGCAGUUGCGAACGGGUGAGUAACGCGUAUGUAACUACCUAUUAGAGGGGGCUAACUCUUUGAAACGAUAGCUAAUACCGCAUACUAGUAGAUUGACCUGCGUUUUAUUAGCUAGUAGGUAGGGGAAUGUCCUACCUAGGCAACGAUACAUAGACGACCUGAGAGGGUGAUAGGCAACACUGGGACGGAGACACGGCCAAGAAUCCGAGGGGAGGCAGCAGUAGGGAAUCUGCGGCAAUGGGGGGAACACUGACCGAGCAACGCGGCGGGAGUGAAGAAGGUUGUCGGAUCGGAAAGCUCUGUUGUUAAGGAAGCGGUACUUAACCAGAAAGGGACGGCUAACUACGUGCCAGCAGCCGCGGUAAUUC
This 407-nucleotide ribosomal RNA is filed under the name uncultured bacterium. RNAcentral's name for it is "partial 16S ribosomal RNA". It matches the Rfam family "Bacterial small subunit ribosomal RNA", at positions 28 to 526 of the family's 1533-position model. The record is from RNAcentral.